GCCAAUUAUAACCACAGGGGCCAGCAUGGGGCCAGUUUUUCCUCCUACAAGGGCCAGUUAAAGCUGCUAAGAAAAUAAGCAUUACCUUAGACAGUGGAGUGGCCAACAGAUUAAGAAAAAGAUGUAAGGACAGCUCGCUUCAGUACAACGAAAAAGGGUGUUUUAAAAAAAAAAAGGCCAAAGAAAAUCCAGAAUAAAUGGGGACAAGGACUGUGGUUGAAAGAUAAGCAAACAAAAAGUGGGCUCCACGCGACCGUCUUCUUACUGCAAUACCGCCUUUGACCGUACAGACUGGCCCACCAGCCGUUACCACUCAGGGAGGCGCUGUUUCACUCGUUUGAGGAAACGGACUUAAAAUGGGGAGGAGUUGUCCAUCACCGUUGCAAUAUACAAGAAAAAUGACUUAAUGAUUUUAUUAAAUGCGCAAUGAUUGGUAUGUGGUAACAUUAAUCCUGGCCUGCCUCUGUUUCUGAAAAACAAACACCCCUGUGAGUCCAGGCUUCCUGACUUCUUGUCUCAGCUGGAUCAGAUCACAGGUGUAAUUAAUAAAAUUAAUAACACAGGCUUUAAUUUGGUUAGCUAAUGUGCAUGCUGGCUCACUCAUUACAAUGGAACAGAGACAGUAUUAUUAACAUUGUUAGCAGUAUAUAUUAGAAGUCUAGCGUUAAAUCAUGAAAAACACCUAUGCAUAUGUGGCCCAGUGAAGUUUGUUAGAUCUACAGCAAAAUAUUGUUUUGUAACAUUAAUAUCUAAAUAAAAGAUGUUUGUAUAUUUAUUUACGC
Anoplopoma fimbria (sablefish) is the source of this 782-nucleotide long non-coding RNA. RefSeq lists it as uncharacterized. NCBI's taxonomy places the organism in Eukaryota, Metazoa, Chordata, Actinopteri, Perciformes, Anoplopomatidae. The transcript is spliced from 3 exons. The record is from RefSeq and is a predicted model, not a curated record.